Molecule: long non-coding RNA, 3250 nt
Organism: Gallus gallus (chicken)
Lineage: Eukaryota; Metazoa; Chordata; Aves; Galliformes; Phasianidae
Exons: 2
Source: RefSeq, a predicted model, not a curated record
ACGCGACCCGCGGUGCGCGCCCGGCUCCGCGCUUCGGUGCUCCUCGUCGUGGCGACGCUCGUUCCGCCGCUCCGCACCAUCUCUCCUCGAUCGCGCCGGAGUCAGACGCGCGCCGGGCGAGACGCGAGCCGGUCGGAGCGGCUCUGGGCUGAAAGCCGCGCCUCUGACGGAGCGUUAUUAGCGCCUCAUGCAUAUGGAUUCAUCCCUCAAACUUCGGAGUCUGGCUCAAUUACAGGAACGCUCCGUCGAGCCGAACCGGGCCACCCGCUGCGCCCGGCGCUGUGCGGGGGGGGCCGUCCGCCCGGCGCUGCCACUUUGAAGCAACGUCUGGAAUUCUGUCCUAAUGAGAGCUUUCCUUCUCGUAUACCCAUUUUUCUGUAACUGCACCUUUGCCGCUUUGAAGAUUCUUCCAAACUUUAAUACGAAAGGAAGAGAAAGACGAGGCGCGGCGCGGGGCGGUGCGGGGCGGUGCCCUCAGCCGCAGCCUCGGACCGGGAGCCCCGGCACAGCGCCGUGUGAGCGGCGUCCUGCCGCGGGCAGCCGGGGCCUCUCCUGGAGACAGACGGGGCGCGUGGAAGGAGACCGAAACGCGAAGCACCGCUGCGGGCACACAAGCCGCGCUCCGGGCACCGCCCGCUCCCCACCGCGUCCCGGCGGCGCGGAGAGGUGGCCCUCGGCGUGACGCUCCGGAGGGGCCCACGUGCGCGGUCGGGGAUGGAUGUGAAGAUGCAAAUAAAAGGAGUGAGGGGGCGCGGCCGGACCGAAUCCGUUCCCGGAGCCAAUCGGCCGACGGCUCCGAGGGCCGCGUGCCGCCCUGAGGACCUCCGCCGCUCCGUGCUGGGCGGGGUUCUCGAGGCGUCCGUCUGCCCCCCGUGCCUCCCGGUGCUCCCAUCUCCCUAUUGCUUUCUGUAGGGCGGACGCGGCACUGCGAUGCCGCUGCCCGGGGAACGCCCUCGGGUGCUCCGCGCCCGCCUCACCCCGCUGCUCCGGGAGGAACGCAGAGCCCCGCCGGACUGAGCUGCCACUCCGAGCACCGAGACGUUCCCUCUCACGCAGUAUUUAAGUCCCUUUCACGCGGUGUUCAAAUUCCCGGCGUUCUUGCCUCCUUCUCCGGUGGUCCCACUCUCUGCUUCGAAGUUUGCACAUUCCGACUGCAGUACUGCAGCAGUUAAAGGCCCGGCGCUUCCACCAGAGAAGAACGAGGCAUAUUUUUUAGCAGCCACGCUGUUACAUGACUUCAUCUGCAGGCAGCAAAUUAGCGUCUUCCUGCUUGUGCCACUGAUCUGUUCUUAUUUUGGAGCGCAACCAUCCAACAUGUUCCAUUUGCACCUUUCCUCCGUGCCGCGGCAGCGCUGCUGGGAGCCGCUUCCCACCGUAAGCUGAUUUAACUCCAAGGGAUGAUACAUCCCUAAUGAGAAAUGAAGGCCCACUGGAGAGCACGCGGAAAUUCCCAGCCAGGCCAAUGAGAGCCGCGCCGCAGCGCUGUGUGGGUGUGCGGGGAUGGCCCCGGAUCACUGUGGGGUCUCAGCCUGCGCGGGGAACGGUGCAGAGCUCCGUGUGUUGGGGUGCCGGGGGGAUCAGUGGGCCUGAGCUCAUUGCUGGGAUCUGGGCGUGAGCACCACAACAGCUGCUGGUGGUGAAGGUGCGGGCACAUCUCUGUGUAUAGGUGUGUGUCUGCAGAUAUUGUGCAGGCUCGGGGAAGUCUGGCUUAACGGAUGUGGGCAAAGCCCACGCAAGAGGAGCGAGGCUCAUUCGUGUCCAUUUAAAAAUGCUUAACAACAGGCUGUUAGCAAUGGCUGUUCAUCGCAGUUCUCAUUACCUGCCAGCUUCAGUUUGUUUGCUGAGAAUGUCCAGACUUGGCCCUGGCUUGGGGGCAAUGCAUUUGGGAAACGUGAGUGCGGACAGAAAGGUGUGCAAAGAGCCGCUCCAUGCUGAGGACGAGCAACGAGUGGGUUCUGCCUCCUGCCUGCACCCUGUAGGCUGGGGCUGAUCAGGGCCCCCCCACACUGCAUGCUCCUGUGGGCAGGAAGCCAGGGACGUCAGCGUGGGGCUGAUAAGGGCUGUGGGGUGUCUGCAGCAGAUAGGGUCUGCGCUGCUGCCGGGAAGCAGCCUGGCUGCUGCCUGCCCACGCGCUGCAGCAGAGCAGAGCCCAGCGGUGUCCCCAGGGUUGGCUGCUGUGUAUGGCCAUGCCUGAGGGGCCGGUGCCCCCAGCCCGGGGCACACCCUGUGCACUGCCAUGCCCUGUCCCAUCUGGUGGGAGCAGUGCUGCUGUGUGUGUGUCGUACCCGAGCUGACACUUGGCUCUUGACAACACAGGCCGUUGGUGGGCUGGGGCUGAUAGAGGCAAUUAGGGUAUAGAGUACGGCCCCAUAAUCUAUAGAUUACAAUUUUAUGGUCAGCAGUGGGUAACAUGAGAACUCGGAGUACAUAGUCCAUACUGCACAAUACCCAGCAUGACUGUCACGCAUUCCUCUACAGACAAACUGCAUCUUUUCUUCUCCCUCUCUGAUGAAAACUUCCUCAUACCAUAAACCAAAGGGUAACGGAGCUGCAGUUUGGAGUGCCUUCUGAAUUUCAGAGCACGUAAAUGGAUCCUGCUGUGUGCUGCUGCCGUGCUGCACAGUGGAAGUGGCCUCGUGGUCGCAGCCGAGCAGCCGCACUUCGGAGUCUAAAGAUAACAGCGAGCACUGGAGAACUGCUCUCAUUUCAGCACGGGGCACUCCGCCUCCUUCCCAUACUGCCAUUUUAAAUAGAAUCGCCAUUCUCCAUAGGUAAGGUGUUUGGUUUGGCUGCUGGCAGAGGAGGACGAUCCUACCCAGCUGUCAGAGAAUGCUCACAUUUCCCAAACGGCCAGGAAGGCACGAGAGCAGGCACUGUAUAGCAAGGGAGCCAAGCCUUGGGACCUGCUGCCCCGCACACCCUAAGUGCCCUGCUGUGACACGGGUGGGCACUGCCCGGGGUCUGCAGAGCCGGCACUGGGGGUGAGGGCCGUGCCAGGCAGAGCCUGAGCUGCUUGGGCUGGGGGGCUCCUGGGGAUCAACCUUUGCUUCCAGGGCUGGAGCCCCAGCAGCCUGGUGCAGAGACUGCUCUGAAAGCAUACUGGAAAGCACAAUCGGAAUUAUUGAAUCCUUUUGUAAUCUCUAGAAUUUAUCUACGAGAAGUUAAAGAAGGAAAAUUACCUCUGUUAAUGUUCAAACAUGAGCGGGUACGUUUGCUGUUACACAAACCUCUUAAAGUUAUUAAUGAUUGA